This is a long non-coding RNA of Monodelphis domestica (gray short-tailed opossum), 1657 nucleotides long. NCBI's taxonomy places the organism in Eukaryota, Metazoa, Chordata, Mammalia, Didelphimorphia, Didelphidae. The record is from Ensembl.
AUGGAGAAGCAACUAACAUUUUUCUUUUUCAUUUUCACUAUGUGUAGUCAACUAUAUGAUCACAGUAUGAUGGUUAUUCAAAAGGUACUCCCAUAUACAUUUGGAUUCCAGAAGGAUUCACCGAUUCCUGCCAUGACUCCCAUCCCAAAAACAAGCCUGGGAGAAUGCAGAUACAGAGACUGUGCUAAAACAACAAGAUGUUCUACCAACUUGGGAACAAAUUGGGACACUUUCAGCCCAAGCAAAACAAAGAAUGGAUAAGCAACAAUUUAUGCCUCCUGAUUGCACUGCCACCUUAAUUCUUGCCAUGUUAGCCAUUUUAUCUGUAUUCCCUGGUAUUUCUGCCAUUGAAAGCCCCUCAUCUCCCAUUACUCAUUUUUCUUUGUAGAAAUUCAUAGCUUCUCUCUCCCCUUUCUGUAUUGCUGUGCUCUAGUGACAAGAAAAGUUCCAAACCUAUUCAAGCUCAUGCAUUGAUUGUACAAUAUGUUUCCCCCACGACUUAUAGAAAUUCUUGCUAUGUAUUUUUAAGAAAUUGACUUAAUCCCUCCAUUCCUGCUAUCAUUGUAUUUGUUGUUAAAUAACCACCAUUUAUUAUGCUUCCUGUUAAUAUGACUAUUGACUGGUACAAUGGUUCGGGCAUUUAUGCUCUACAAUUAAUUUCCAACAGUUUAAACCAUCCUAAACCCUUCAUCGUACCCCUUAUUGGAUAUCACUGAACUCAUUGUAUCACUAGCAACCUUCCCUACAAGGAGUUCACACUACACAGACAAAUCAUGACUAUCAGUCACUCUGGUACCUCCCUUUAUUCAGCCUCAUUCAUCACUAAUUCAUUUUAUCUCCAAAGGUGAUUUUAUCCAUAUCUUUAUUGCUUGUGGAUUUGUUCUUGUCUUAUUUUUUCUUAUUCUUUUUUGCUUUCCAGUCCUCAUCCAAUACCUAGGGUCUACCGUUCGAAAAGUCCAAAUUAAACUGAAGUCUCUUCAGCUCAAAAAUUUUUAAAAAAUGGGGGGUAUGCUGGGGCCAUCAGUCCAUGAUGCCUUGACAGAGUGAUGCAUGGUAACUGGGGAGGCCACAGAGUGGUCCUUGGCGAGAUGUGACUGCCCACUCUAUUCCCUUUACAUGACCUCUUUCAUCAAUGCCCCUUACCUAUGAAUUGACAUGAUUAUUAUUCCCCCUAGUCUCAAAAGAAAUAAUGCAAGAGCAAAACACCUGUACCCUAAUUCUUCAAAACAUCACCAAAAGAUCAGACCCGCAAACCCAAUCCCAAAAGACAAUCGUGGGUUAACUUUUAAUUAGGUACAUAAUUCCCAGCAAAACCACAGCUGCAGGCCAAGCCCAAAACUUUCUCACAAAGCCAGUACACAAAUCAAUCAUAGAGGCCCAUACAAUUUGUACAGGUACAGUACAGUACAGGUACACUAAGCUUCAAUAUGCCUCAGUAAUUCAAUUACACAAAUCAGUAACUCAAACUCCCUAGUAAGCCACCUGUGAAAAAUCACUUAUUCUGUCUGCAAUCACAAUACAAAAAUUUAGAAUGUUAAUCAAGUGAUUUCUUAAAAGUUAAUGUAUCACUUUCCCAAUUAUCUCUCCUUAAUUCUGUAUACCUGCAUGCCAAGAAAAUGGGUAUAAAAAUAAAUCCCAGGCCUGGGAAUGUGGAGCA